CAGUCGCCGCGGUAAUACCGAGGGUGCGAGCGUUAAUCGGAUUUACUGGGCGUAAAGCGUGCGUAGGCGGCUUUUUAAGUCGGAUGUGAAAUCCCUGAGCUUAACUUAGGAAUUGCAUUCGAUACUGGGAAGCUAGAGUAUGGGAGAGGAUGGUAGAAUUCCAGGUGUAGCGGUGAAAUGCGUAGAGAUCUGGAGGAAUACAGAUGGCGAAGGCAGCCAUCUGGCCUAAUACUGACGCUGAGGUACGAAAGCAUGGGGAGCAAACAGGAUUAGAUACCCCAGUAGUCCCUGUCUCUUAUAC
Molecule: ribosomal RNA, 301 nt
Filed under: uncultured bacterium
Lineage: Bacteria
Description: partial 16S ribosomal RNA
Rfam family: Bacterial small subunit ribosomal RNA
Source: RNAcentral